Small nuclear RNA from Manis javanica (Malayan pangolin), 105 nucleotides. The record is from RefSeq and is a predicted model, not a curated record. Lineage: Eukaryota; Metazoa; Chordata; Mammalia; Pholidota; Manidae.
UCGCUUUCGCAGCAAAUAUACUAUAAAACUGGAACGAUACAGAGAACAUUAGCAUGGCUGCUGUGCAAGGAUGACACACAAAUUUGUGAAGCGUUCUGUAUUUUU